UACGGUAGGGUGCAAGCGUUGUCCGGAAUUAUUGGGCGUAAAGAGCUCGUAGGCGGUUUGUCGCGUCGGCUGUGAAAGCCCGGAGCUCAACUCCGGGUCUGCAGUCGAUACGGGCAGACUUGAGUGUUGCAGGGGAGACUGGAAUUCCUGGUGUAGCGGUGAAAUGCGCAGAUAUCAGGAGGAACACCGGUGGCGAAGGCGGGUCUCUGGGCAGUAACUGACGCUGAGGAGCGAAAGCGUGGGGAGCGAACAGG
Molecule: ribosomal RNA, 254 nt
Filed under: uncultured bacterium
Lineage: Bacteria
Description: partial 16S ribosomal RNA
Rfam family: Bacterial small subunit ribosomal RNA
Source: RNAcentral